AUGGAUAGCUCGUACGCACAAUCCGAAAAGAUAGAGCAGCAGAAUAUGAGAGACACAGAGAGAGAGAGGCGCGAAACGCCAUGUGCACGUCUGGCACUCAAAAUCAGAAGGAAGCGAGUUUUGCGCUAUUUGCCAAAGCCGUACGCCCCAAAAGAGAUGAAAGAAAAAUGGAAAAGUCAUUGCUGGAAUCCAAAUUUAUAA
RNAcentral lists this long non-coding RNA (201 nucleotides) under Prunus dulcis (almond). RNAcentral's name for it is "sRNA ncRNA". The record is from RNAcentral. Lineage: Eukaryota; Viridiplantae; Streptophyta; Magnoliopsida; Rosales; Rosaceae.